RNAcentral lists this ribosomal RNA (497 nucleotides) under uncultured bacterium. RNAcentral describes it as "partial 16S ribosomal RNA". It matches the Rfam family "Bacterial small subunit ribosomal RNA", at positions 28 to 507 of the family's 1533-position model. The record is from RNAcentral.
GAUGAACGCUGGCGGCGUGCCUAAUACAUGCAAGUCGAGCGAACGGACGAGAAGCUUGCUUCUCUGAUGUUAGCGGCGGACGGGUGAGUAACACGUGGAUAACCUACCUAUAAGACUGGGAUAACUUCGGGAAACCGUAGCUAAUACCGGAUAAUAUUUUGAACCGCAUGGUUCAAAAGUGAAAGACGGUCUUGCUGUCACUUAUAGAUGGAUCCGCGCUGCAUUAGCUAGUUGGUAAGGUAACGGCUUACCAAGGCAACGAUGCAUAGCCGACCUGAGAGGGUGAUCGGCCACACGGGAACUUAGACACGGUCCAGACUCCUACGGGAGGCAGCAGUAGGGAAUCUUCCGCAAUGGGCGAAAGCCUGACGGAGCAACGCCGCGUGAGUGAUGAAGGUCUUCGGAUCGUAAAACUCUGUUAUUAGGGAAGAACAUAUGUGUAAGUAACUGUGCACAUCUUGACGGUACCUAAUCAGAAAGCCACGGCUAACUACGUG